AGUGAACGCUGGCGGUAGGCCUAACACAUGCAAGUCGAACGGCAGCACAGUAAGAGCUUGCUCUUACGGGUGGCGAGUGGCGGACGGGUGAGGAAUACAUCGGAAUCUACUUUUUCGUGGGGGAUAACGUAGGGAAACUUACGCUAAUACCGCAUACGACCUACGGGUGAAAGCAGGGGAUCUUCGGACCUUGCGCGAUUGAAUGAGCCGAUGUCGGAUUAGCUAGUUGGCGGGGUGAAGGCCCACCAAGGCGACGAUCCGUAGCUGGUCUGAGAGGAUGAUCAGCCACACUGGAGCUGAGACACGGUCCAGACUCCUACGGGAGGCAGCAGUGGGGAAUAUUGGACAAAGGGCGCAAGCCUGAUCCAGCCAUACCGCGUGGGUGAAGAAGGCCUUCGGGUUGUAAAGCCCUUUUGUUGGGAAAGAAAAGCAGCAGGUUAAUACCCCGCUGUUCUGACGGUACCCAAAGAAUAAGCACCGGCUAACUUCGUG
This 492-nucleotide ribosomal RNA is filed under the name uncultured bacterium. RNAcentral describes it as "partial 16S ribosomal RNA". It matches the Rfam family "Bacterial small subunit ribosomal RNA", at positions 29 to 507 of the family's 1533-position model. The record is from RNAcentral.